Molecule: ribosomal RNA, 444 nt
Filed under: uncultured bacterium
Lineage: Bacteria
Description: partial 16S ribosomal RNA
Rfam family: Bacterial small subunit ribosomal RNA
Source: RNAcentral
CUACGGGGCGCUGCAGUGGGGAAUAUUGCACAAUGGGCGCAAGCCUGAUGCAGCAACGCCGCGUGAGGGAUGAAGGCCUUCGGGUUGUAAACCUCUUUUAGCAGGGAAGAAGCGAAAGUGACGGUACCUGCAGAAAAAGCACCGGCUAACUACGUGCCAGCAGCCGCGGUAAUACGUAGGGUGCAAGCGUUGUCCGGAAUUAUUGGGCGUAAAGAGCUCGUAGGCGGUUUGUCACAUCUGCUGUGAAAAUCCAAGGCUCAACCUUGGACUUGCAGUGGGUACGGGCAGGCUAGAGUGCGGUAGGGGAGAUGGGAAUUCCUGGUGUAGCGGUGGAAUGCGCAGAUAUCAGGAGGAACACCAAUGGCGAAGGCACAUCUCUGGGCCGUAACUGACGCUGAGGAGCGAAAGCGUGGGGAGCGAACAGGAUUAGAUACCCGUGUAGUC